RNAcentral lists this ribosomal RNA (547 nucleotides) under uncultured bacterium. RNAcentral describes it as "bacterial SSU rRNA". It matches the Rfam family "Bacterial small subunit ribosomal RNA", at positions 355 to 896 of the family's 1533-position model. The record is from RNAcentral.
UGGGGAAUAUUGCGCAAUGGGGGCAACCCUGACGCAGCCAUGCCGCGUGAAUGAAGAAGGCCUUCGGGUUGUAAAGUUCUUUCGGUAGCGAGGAAGGCAUUUAGUUUAAUAGACUAGAUGAUUGACGUUAACUACAGAAGAAGCACCGGCUAACUCCGUGCCAGCAGCCGCGGUAAUACGGAGGGUGCGAGCGUUAAUCGGAAUAACUGGGCGUAAAGGGCACGCAGGCGGUGACUUAAGUGAGGUGUGAAAGCCCCGGGCUUAACCUGGGAAUUGCAUUUCAUACUGGGUCGCUAGAGUACUUUAGGGAGGGGUAGAAUUCCACGUGUAGCGGUGAAAUGCGUAGAGAUGUGGAGGAAUACCGAAGGCGAAGGCAGCCCCUUGGGAAUGUACUGACGCUCAUGUGCGAAAGCGUGGGGAGCAAACAGGAUUAGAUACCCUGGUAGUCCACGCUGUAAACGAUGUCGAUUUGGGGGUUGAACUUUAAGUUUGGCGCCCGUAGCUAACGUGAUAAAUCGACCGCCUGGGGAGUACGGCCGCAAGGUUA